Molecule: long non-coding RNA, 463 nt
Filed under: Callithrix jacchus (white-tufted-ear marmoset)
Lineage: Eukaryota; Metazoa; Chordata; Mammalia; Primates; Cebidae
Description: lncRNA (ENSCJAG00000083685.1)
Source: RNAcentral
AAAGUCUCCAGGGACAUCAGGAUAGCCAGCAUACUGUAUUGUUACUUGUAUUACUUGGUUUUAUCAUAAAAAUCUGUCACAACAGUUGGCUGGUCUGUCAAAGAUUGCCUUAAAUGAACAUUUUAUUCCAGGGAAUUACAAAAUCUUUAUUUAUUUAUGUAUGUAUUAUUUAUUUUCUUCUUUUUUGAGACAGGGCCUCACUCUGUCACCCCGGCUACACUGCAGUGGCUUACUGAAACUUCACAUCCCAGGCUCAAGCAAUCCUCCUCCCUCAGCCUCUCAGCCUCUUCAGUAGCUACAACACAGGUCCCACAGCAUUGAUCCCACAUUCCACUGAACUGUUUCAUUGGAUGCUCAAAUGAAGAGGGCUUAACACAAUAUGGAAGCGUCUAAAGCUUGGGGCUUGUACACUCUGAAGCAAUGGCCGGAGCUAAACCUUGGCCCCUUUAAGUCAUGGCUUGAG